AACGAACGCUGGCGGUGUGCUUAACACAUGCAAGUCGAACGAGAAAGUUUCCUUCGGGAAGCUAGUAAAGUGGCGCAAGGGUGAGUAACACGUGAAUAAUCUGCCCUCGAGAUCGGGAUAACCUGAGGAAACUUAGGCUAAAUACCGGAUAAGACCACAUUUACAUAUGGAAUGUGGGAAAAGGAGUCUCAAUCUUCACUCGAGGAUGAGUUCGCGGGAACCAUUUAGCUUGUUGGUGAGAUAAAAGCUCACCAAGGCAACGAUGGUUAGCCGGCCUGAGAGGGCGAUCGGCCACACUGGAACUGAGACACGGUCCAGACUCCUACGGGAGGCAGGCAGUGGGGAAUAUUGCGCAAUGGGCGAAAGCCUGACGCAGCAACAACCGUGUGAGCGAUG
This 396-nucleotide ribosomal RNA is filed under the name uncultured Nitrospina sp. RNAcentral describes it as "bacterial SSU rRNA". It matches the Rfam family "Bacterial small subunit ribosomal RNA", at positions 29 to 410 of the family's 1533-position model. Lineage: Bacteria; Pseudomonadati; Nitrospinota; Nitrospinia; Nitrospinales; Nitrospinaceae. The record is from RNAcentral.